AUUGAACGCUGGCGGCAGGCCUAACACAUGCAAGUCGAGCGGAUGAAGGGAGCUUGCUCCUGGAUUCAGCGGCGGACGGGUGAGUAAUGCCUAGGAAUCUGCCUGGUAUUGGGGGAUAACGUCCGGAAACGGGCGCUAAUACCGCAUACGUCCUGAGGGAGAAAGUGGGGGAUCUUCGGACCUCACGCUAUCAGAUGAGCCUAGGUCGGAUUAGCUAGUUGGUGGGGUAAAGGCCUACCAAGGCGACGAUCCGUAACUGGUCUGAGAGGAUGAUCAGUUACACUGGAACUGAGACACGGUCCAGACUCCUACGGGAGGCAGCAGUGGGGAAUAUUGGGCAAUGGGCGAAAGCCUGACCCAGCCAUGCCGCGUGUGUGAAGAAGGUCUUCGGAUUGUAAAGCACUUUAAGUUGGGAGGAAGGGCAGUAAGUUAAUACCUUGCUGUUUUGACGUUACCAACAGAGUAAGCCCCGGCUAACUUCGUG
This 484-nucleotide ribosomal RNA is filed under the name uncultured bacterium. RNAcentral's name for it is "partial 16S ribosomal RNA". It matches the Rfam family "Bacterial small subunit ribosomal RNA", at positions 30 to 507 of the family's 1533-position model. The record is from RNAcentral.